RNAcentral lists this ribosomal RNA (350 nucleotides) under Pseudoxanthomonas sp. CL4.142. Its description in RNAcentral is "bacterial SSU rRNA". It matches the Rfam family "Bacterial small subunit ribosomal RNA", at positions 145 to 490 of the family's 1533-position model. Lineage: Bacteria; Pseudomonadati; Pseudomonadota; Gammaproteobacteria; Lysobacterales; Lysobacteraceae. The record is from RNAcentral.
AACGUAGGGAAACUUACGCUAAUACCGCAUAAGACCUUCGGGUGAAAGUGGGGGACCUUCGGGCCUCACGCGGAUAGAUGAGCCGAUGUCGGAUUAGCUUGUUGGCGGGGUAAAAGCCCACCAAGGCGACGAUCCGUAGCUGGUCUGAGAGGAUGAUCAGCCACACUGGAACUGAGACACGGUCCAGACUCCUACGGGAGGCAGCAGUGGGGAAUAUUGGACAAUGGGCGCAAGCCUGAUCCAGCCAUACCGCGUGGGUGAAGAAGGCCUUCGGGUUGUAAAGCCCUUUUGUUGGGAAAGAAAUCCUGCCGGUUAAUAACCAGUAGGGAUGACGGUACCCAAAGAAUAAG